RNAcentral lists this small RNA (864 nucleotides) under Mesomycoplasma bovoculi M165/69. RNAcentral describes it as "bacterial LSU rRNA". The stretch from base 372 to 864 matches the Rfam family "Bacterial large subunit ribosomal RNA", at positions 1 to 497 of the family's 2925-position model. Lineage: Bacteria; Bacillati; Mycoplasmatota; Mycoplasmoidales; Metamycoplasmataceae. The record is from RNAcentral.
CGCCCGUCACACCAUGGGAGUUGGUAAUACCCAAAGUCGGUUAGUUAACUUCGGAGACUGCUGCCUAAGGUAGGACUGAUGACUGGGGUGAAGUCGUAACAAGGUAUCCCUACGAGAACGUGGGGAUGGAACACCUCCUUUCUACGGUUAUAUUUAUAUAAUACACAAACACAAUUUAAUUACUAAUACUAAAUUUUGAAAAUGGUUAUGUAUCUAGUUUUGAGAGAUCUAAUGAAAUAGUUCUUUGAAAACUGAAUAGUAUAAUAAAUUUACAAAUAUGUAAUUUUUACAUAUUCCAACAAUUUAAAAUACCUUAAGAUAUUUAUCUUUAGUAUAAAACGAUAGGCUAUACAAAAGUUACAAAUUAACUUUUUUAAAUAAGUAAGAGUGUUUGGUGGAUGCCUUGGGUCUGAAAGUCGAUGAAGGACGUGAUUACCUGCGAUAAGCUUCGUGGAGCUGGAAAUAAGCUAUGAUACGGAGAUUUCCGAAUGGGGAAACCUAAUUAAGUAAACCUUAAUUGCUUUUUAAUGAAUUCAUAGUUAAAUAGACGAUAAACGUUGUGAAUUGAAACAUCUUAGUAACAACAGGAAAAGAAAAUAAAUAAUGAUUCCCUUAGUAGUGGCGAGCGAAUGGGGAAGAGCCCAAACCGUUUAACGGGGUUAUAGGACAUUUUAAUUGAGUAAAAAAAUUUUAUAAUAGCAGAAGAAGUUGGAAAGCUUCAACAUAGAAGGUGACAUUCCUGUAUGCGAAAUUGUAAAAUCUCAUAAGUGUAUCCUGAGUAGGGCGGGGCACGUGAAACCCUGUCUGAAUUAGCCGGGACCACCCGGUAAGGCUAAAUACUAAUCAGACACCGAUAGUGAACAA